Molecule: long non-coding RNA, 1100 nt
Filed under: Sarcophilus harrisii (Tasmanian devil)
Lineage: Eukaryota; Metazoa; Chordata; Mammalia; Dasyuromorphia; Dasyuridae
Description: lncRNA (ENSSHAG00000025757.1)
Source: RNAcentral
AGGAGGCUUAACUUUUCUGGCAUUUGUGAAACUAGUUGGGUGAACCUUGAAAGUUCUCAGAGCAGGGGAAAGGUUGGGGGAACCUCUGGCAUGCUGGAGGGACCCAGAUUCUGGGAGUUUCUCUUUGUAUGAGUUCUGGGAGUUUCCAUUGGGCUGUGUAUCUGCCUUCACCCUGUGAUUCAGGGUGCCACUAAGUAAGGCUGUCUCUAGGACAGGGCUCUGUUCUAGAGCAGGAAAUUUGGAGGAUGUAAAAAAAUUAGUGUGUACACGCUUUCAGCAGAGUCUAAGGAGGUGUAGAGUAGAUAUAGAUGUAGAGUGCUGAGUAGAUUUGGAGGGUGGCUAAGGAAGGUAGCUAAGAGAGAGAUUCCAAGAGGUAAUGGGGACAAUGGAGUAGAUGAUAUUUAAAUUCCCUCUCAGUUCCACAAAGAAUGACCAACUCAGACUAGCCUCUUGCUUACCUGCCCUCAAUAAGCAAGGGACUUUUGUCCCCAAAGUGGGGGGGGGGGAGGAUGACCAUAAUGUUAUAUCUAGCUAUAGGACAGCCGGAUGGCUCAGAGAACAAUGUUCUGGGCCCGAAAUCUGGAAAUCUUCAGUUUAACUCCAACCUCAGACACUUACUGGAUCUGUGAUUCUAUCCCUGUAGAAACUCAGAAUCGAAAUCCCUCCACUGAUUUGGCUGCCACAUGGAGAGAUUCAAGGGACUUGCCCACAGGCUCAUAGCUCCUAUAAACUGUCAAAGAAUCCUUUGUCCAGAGAAAAGGAGUCAAGAGGAGAAAAAAUUGAAGAAGCCCUGGGCUAGGCGAAGCUGCUCUACUGGAUGGUCUCCAGCGCCCUCCCAGUUUGCAACACUCCAGUUUUGCAUGUGACACUGUCUUUUUAAUUCUGCUAAGCUCCUGGGUAUGGUUUUUUGGUCUUCCCAACUAGGCCAGGAGCUUCUUCCCCCCACCCUAGGGUCAAGCCUGGCUACCUCCAGACACUGUGAUAGUACCAAGUCGGUCAAUAAACAUGGAUGCAUCAUGUGCCUACUACGGACCGAGCACAAUCUCAUGGGGGGAGCAACAUGCAAACAAAUAAAUAUUACAAAGCAAACCAGGAAUAGG